AAUGUCGUCCUGUACUCGAGCGAUCGAGUCUCGACUGAUUUAUAUCAUUAUGAUUAUGAUAACAAUACCUUGAAAGUAAGAUAGUGGUUUAAAAAGAAAAAAAUUAUGGUUGGCUUCCUUUCACUCCAGAUCAUUGUCAAAACAAGAAGUAAUUGUUUACACCUGCACGUUAAUCCAAGUUUAAGGCGUCUAGCUGUGCCUUGUUCACACCUGUUGUCAUGUGAUUAAAAUAUAAAAGAUGACUUAGGAAUUGUUAUGGAGAUAACACUAUUGUAAAUAUGCUUUGAAUAAACAGCCAUUGUUUUCAAG
This is a long non-coding RNA of Ostrea edulis (European flat oyster), 309 nucleotides long. RefSeq lists it as uncharacterized. The transcript has 3 exons. NCBI's taxonomy places the organism in Eukaryota, Metazoa, Mollusca, Bivalvia, Ostreida, Ostreidae. The record is from RefSeq and is a predicted model, not a curated record.